This 1274-nucleotide ribosomal RNA is filed under the name metagenome. Its description in RNAcentral is "SSU rRNA". It matches the Rfam family "Eukaryotic small subunit ribosomal RNA", at positions 499 to 1768 of the family's 1831-position model. The record is from RNAcentral.
GGCUUGGUAAUUGGAAUGAGGGAGAGUUAAACGGACCAUCGAGUAUCCAUUGGAGGGCAAGUCUGGUGCCAGCAGCUGCGGUAAUACCAGCUCCAAUAGCGUAUAUUAAAUUUGUUGCAGUUAAAAAGCUCGUAGUUGGACUUGUGUGCGCUGUCCGCGGGUGGCCUGCGCCCAAAAGGGCGUUUCGGUUCGGCCCCGGUGGCGCCUUGAAAUCUGCAGCUGGGGGGACGUUGGCCUUAACUGGUCGGCGACCGCACGCCGGCUGCUCGGUUACUGUGAGAAAAUUAGAGUGUUCAAGGCAGGCAUUGGGUGCAAUUGAAUACAUUAGCAUGGAAUAAUAAAAUAUGGCUCCUGCCGUAUUUUGUUGGUUUUGACUGGUGGGAGUAAUGAUUGAUAGGGACGGUUGGGGGUGCUAGUAUUGAGCGGCCAGAGGUGAAAUUCAUGGAUUCGCUCAAGACUAACUUAUGCGAAAGCAUUCACCAAGGACGUCCUCUUUAAUCAAGAACGAAAGUUGGGGGAUCGAAGACGAUCAGAUACCGUCGUAGUCUCAACCAUAAACUAUGUCGACUUGGGAUCGGCGGUAGUUUUUUCAUUAAGACACUGUCGGGACCACGGGAGAAAUCAAAGUGUCUGGACUCUGGGGGAAGUAUGGUCGCAAGGCUGAAACUUGAAGGAAUUGACGGAAGGGCACCACCAGGAGUGGAGCCUGCGGCUUAAUUUGACAACACGGGGAAACUUACCAGGUCCAGAGAUGUAGAGGAUUGACAGAUUGAAGCUCUUUCUUGAUCACUUCGGUGGUGGUGCAUGGCCGUUCUUAGUUGGUGGAGUGAUUUGUCUGGUUAAUUCCGUUAACGAACGAGACCUCAGCCUGCUAGUGUAGUCGGCUGGAUUGCCUUUGGCGAUCCGUGAUUUCGACUUCUUAGAGGGACAAUCGACGCGCAGUCGAUGGAAGUUUGAGGCAAUAACAGGUCUGUGAUGCCCUUAGAUGUUCUGGGCCGCACGCGCGCUACACUGCUGGGCUCAGCGAGUUUUACUUGGCCGAGAGGCCCGGUUAAUCUUGUGAAAUCCCAGCGUGCUUGGGCUCGCCUCCUGCAACUGGAGGCGCCAACGAGGAAUUCCUAGUAGACGCAGGUCAUCAACCUGCAUCGAUUACGUCCCUGCCCUUUGUACACACCGCCCGUCGUUCCAUAAGAGUGAGGCAUCCGGUGAAUUCUCGGGAGAGCCUGGGCGUGGCCAGCAAUGGUCUGCUCGGGUUUGAACUUGCAUAAACUUGG